UACAGGGGGAGCAAGCGUUGUUCGGAUUUACUGGGCGUAAAGGGCGCGUAGGCGGUCGUGACAAGUCACUUGUGAAAUCUCCGGGCUUAACUCGGAACGGUCAAGUGAUACUGUCGGACUAGAGUACAGAAGGGGCAACUGGAAUUCUCGGUGUAGCGGUGAAAUGCGCAGAUAUCAGGAGGAACACCAGUGGCGAAGGCGGUGCUCUGGGCCGGAACUGACGCUGAGGAGCGAAAGCGUGGGGAGCAAACAGG
Molecule: ribosomal RNA, 254 nt
Filed under: uncultured bacterium
Lineage: Bacteria
Description: partial 16S ribosomal RNA
Rfam family: Bacterial small subunit ribosomal RNA
Source: RNAcentral